AACUGGAUAGCCUAGUGGUCAAAGGCAGCACUUCUAGCAAUGAUGAGAUCCCAGGUUUGAGUCCUGGUCUAGUCA
This 75-nucleotide transfer RNA is filed under the name Endocronartium harknessii PhW48OC. RNAcentral's name for it is "tRNA-Ala (AGC) (tRNA-Ala-AGC-32-1)". It matches the Rfam family "tRNA". Rfam says of the family: Transfer RNA (tRNA) molecules are approximately 80 nucleotides in length. Their secondary structure includes four short double-helical elements and three loops (D, anti-codon, and T loops). Further hydrogen bonds mediate the characteristic L-shaped molecular structure. tRNAs have two regions of fundamental functional importance: the anti-codon, which is responsible for specific mRNA codon recognition, and the 3' end, to which the tRNAs corresponding amino acid is attached (by aminoacyl-tRNA synthetases). tRNAs cope with the degeneracy of the genetic code in two manners: having more than one tRNA (with a specific anti-codon) for a particular amino acid; and 'wobble' base-pairing, i.e. permitting non-standard base-pairing at the 3rd anti-codon position. Lineage: Eukaryota; Fungi; Basidiomycota; Pucciniomycetes; Pucciniales; Coleosporiaceae. The record is from RNAcentral.